Molecule: ribosomal RNA, 468 nt
Filed under: uncultured bacterium
Lineage: Bacteria
Description: partial 16S ribosomal RNA
Rfam family: Bacterial small subunit ribosomal RNA
Source: RNAcentral
GACGAACGCUGGCGGCGUGCUUAACACAUGCAAGUCGAACGGAAAGGCCCUGCUUUUGUGGUGUGCUCGAGUGGCGAACGGGUGAGUAACACGUGAGUAACCUGCCCUUGACUUUGGGAUAACUUCAGGAAACUGGGGCUAAUACCGGAUAGGAUCUCCUGCUGCAUGGUGGGGGUUGGAAAGUUUCGGCGGUUGGGGAUGGACUCGCGGCUUAUCAGCUUGUUGGUGGGGUAGUGGCUUACCAAGGCUUUGACGGGUAGCCGGCCUGAGAGGGUGACCGGCCACAUUGGGACUGAGAGACGGACCAGAGUCCUACGGGGGGCAGCAGUGGGGAAUAUUGCACAAUGGGCGGAAGCCUGAUGCAGCAACGCCGCGUGCGGGAUGACGGCCUUCGGGUUGUAAACCGCUUUCGCCUGUGACGAAGCGUGAGUGACGGUAAUGGGUAAAGAAGCACCGGCUAACUACGUG